CCCUUAGAUGUUCUGGGCCGCACGCGUGCUACACUGAGUGGAUCAGCGGGUCAGGUUGCGCGAAAGUGUUUCCUAAUCUUUAAAUCCGCUCGUGAUGGGGAUUGACGGUUGCAAUUUUCCGUCAUGAACGAGGAAUACCUUGUAAGCGCGGGUCAUCAUCCCGCGCUGAAUACGUCCCUGCCCUUUGUACACACCGCCCGUCGCUCCUACCGAUUGAGUGGUCCGGUGAAGCCUCGGGAUUGUGGUUCUUGCCGCUUUAUUGUGGCGUGACCGCGAGAACUUGUCUAAACCUUGUCACCUAGAGGAAGGUGAAGUCGUAACA
RNAcentral lists this ribosomal RNA (322 nucleotides) under uncultured eukaryote. RNAcentral's name for it is "partial 18S ribosomal RNA". It matches the Rfam family "Eukaryotic small subunit ribosomal RNA", at positions 1470 to 1796 of the family's 1831-position model. The record is from RNAcentral.